RNAcentral lists this ribosomal RNA (253 nucleotides) under uncultured bacterium. RNAcentral's name for it is "partial 16S ribosomal RNA". It matches the Rfam family "Bacterial small subunit ribosomal RNA", at positions 524 to 776 of the family's 1533-position model. The record is from RNAcentral.
UACGUAGGUGGCAAGCGUUGUCCGGAUUUACUGGGCGUAAAGGGUGCGUAGGCGGAUUUAUAAGUCAGUGGUGAAAGCCUAUAGCUUAACUAUAGAAUUGCCAUUGAUACUGUAGGUCUUGAGUACAGUUGAGGUGGGCGGAAUGUGCAGUGUAGCGGUGAAAUGCUUAGAUAUUGCACAGAACACCAAUUGCGAAGGCAGCUCGCUAAGCUGUAACUGACGCUGAGGCACGAAAGUGUGGGUAGCAAACAGG